This 253-nucleotide ribosomal RNA is filed under the name uncultured bacterium. RNAcentral describes it as "partial 16S ribosomal RNA". It matches the Rfam family "Bacterial small subunit ribosomal RNA", at positions 524 to 776 of the family's 1533-position model. The record is from RNAcentral.
UACGAAGGGGGCUAGCGUUGCUCGGAAUCACUGGGCGUAAAGGGUGCGUAGGCGGGUCUUUAAGUCAGGGGUGAAAUCCUGGAGCUCAACUCCAGAACUGCCUUUGAUACUGGAGAGCUUGAGUCCGGGAGAGGUGAGUGGAACUGCGAGUGUAGAGGUGAAAUUCGUAGAUAUUCGCAAGAACACCAGUGGCGAAGGCGGCUCACUGGUCCGGUACUGACGCUGAGGUGCGAAAGCGUGGGGAGCAAACAGG